GAUGAAGAACGUAGCGAAAUGCGAUACUUGGUGUGAAUUGCAGAAUCCCGUGAACCAUCGAGUCUUUGAACGCAAGUUGCGCCCGAAGCCAUUAGGCCGAGGGCACGCCUGCCUGGGCGUCACACGUCGUUGCCCCCCCAUCUACUCCUUCGGGAUUGCGGGGGGCGGAUGAUGGCCUCCCGUGCGCCUUGUCGCGCGGUUGGCAUAAAUACCAAGUCCUCGGCGACGCACGCCACGACAAUCGGUGGUUGCGAAACCUCGGUUGCCUGUCGUGUGCGGUCGUCGCGCAUCGAGGGCUCGAAAAAAUUGCCGAGUUCCGGCUCGGCUUUCAACGCGACCCCAGGUCAGGCGGGGUUACCCGCUGAAUUUAAGCAUAUCAAUAAGCGGAGGA
This 391-nucleotide unclassified non-coding RNA is filed under the name soil metagenome. RNAcentral describes it as "partial contains 5.8S ribosomal RNA, internal transcribed spacer 2, and large subunit ribosomal RNA". The stretch from base 1 to 122 matches the Rfam family "5.8S ribosomal RNA", at positions 35 to 154 of the family's 154-position model. The record is from RNAcentral.